This 488-nucleotide ribosomal RNA is filed under the name uncultured bacterium. RNAcentral's name for it is "partial 16S ribosomal RNA". It matches the Rfam family "Bacterial small subunit ribosomal RNA", at positions 28 to 523 of the family's 1533-position model. The record is from RNAcentral.
GACGAACGCUGGCGGCGCGCCUAACACAUGCAAGUCGAGCGGAGUUAGUUUGUAGCUUGCUACAAACUAACUUAGCGGCGGACGGGUGAGUAACGCGUGGAUAACCUGCCUUUUACAGGGGGAUAACACAGGGAAACUUGUGCUAAUACCGCAUAACAUAUAGAAGUGGCAUCACUUUUAUAUCAAAGGAGCAAUUCGGUAGAAGAUGGAUCCGCGUCCGAUUAGCUAGUUGGCGGGGUAAAGGCCCACCAAGGCGACGAUCGGUAGCCGAACUGAGAGGUUGAUCGGCCACAUUGGGACUGAGACACGGCCCAGACUCCUACGGGAGGCAGCAGUGGGGAAUAUUGCGCAAUGGGGGAAACCCUGACGCAGCAACGCCGCGUGAAGGAUGAAGGCUUUCGGGUUGUAAACUUCUUUAGUCGGGGACGAAAAAAUGACGGUACCCGAAGAAUAAGCCACGGCUAACUACGUGCCAGCCGCCGCGGUAA